UAUAAUCAAUGAUGACUUUAAUUACGUUAUUAAUUUCAUAAUCAAACAUUUAGUAAUAAAUUAUAGUUUUUAAAGCUCGCAAGUUAUAUGCGGCUACACUUCACAAAUAAAAGAGGUGUUUUUGACUUUUAAUUUGUUCUCCCAGUUCUAGAAAUCCAUCUGUCCGUGAUGAAAAGCACUAGGAGCUAAGUAUGUACCGUUGCAGCCCGGAGACCUCCGAGUGGGAGGUGCUUACGCGGCAAGUGGGCGGGACUUCGCGAACAUCCAGGAAGUAGCGACAACUAGUGAAAAACACCUGCUGUGUCUGAAACGGCUCACUCGUUCACUAUUACCUAUAUAGCAAAUGACAUUUGAGUCCACUAUAUGGGGAAGAAGUGAAGCAUAAGGAGUGAACUAUUCCUUCACAACAAAAUCUACUACACAAAGACUGUAAGUGAUGACCGCUUUCAAAACACAGCUUCAUGAAGCAUUCGAAACCUUUACGAACCUUUUGUUUCGAAUCAGUGGUUCGGCUCGUGGAUCAAAUGUGACAAGUCACGUGAUUUCAGGAAACGAACGUCAUUACUGUUUUGACAUUUCCAUGGUUCGCCGCGAGGGGGUGUUGAUCUCAAGGUGAACCAAUGAACCAGUGUUUAAUACAUAAUUUGAAUUGUUCUCCGGUCAGUUUUAUUAUGUAGGUUUAUAAAACUGAAAUGAUUCAAUAGUGUUUGUACUGAUCCAUGGUCAGUGUUCGCCUGAGGAUACCUUAUUAAUCAUCUGACUGGAAAUCCCACCAGAUUUCCUGAUAAAAAUAAAAACAAAAGACAUGG
Molecule: long non-coding RNA, 809 nt
Organism: Ictalurus punctatus (channel catfish)
Lineage: Eukaryota; Metazoa; Chordata; Actinopteri; Siluriformes; Ictaluridae
Exons: 2
Source: RefSeq, a predicted model, not a curated record